RNAcentral lists this ribosomal RNA (490 nucleotides) under uncultured bacterium. Its description in RNAcentral is "partial 16S ribosomal RNA". The record is from RNAcentral.
GUAGUUAGCCGUGGCUUAUUCAUGAGGUACCGUCAUUUGUUUCUUCCCUCAUAAAAGAAGUUUACAACCCGAAGGCCUUCUUCCUUCACGCGGCGUUGCUGGGUCAGGCUUUCGCCCAUUGCCCAAUAUUCCCCACUGCUGCCUCCCGUAGGAGUCUGGACCGUUUCUCAGUUCCAAUGUGGCCGGUCAUCCUCUCAGAUCGGCUACCCAUCGUUGACUUGGUGGGCCGUUACCUCACCAACUAUCUAAUGGGACGCGAGCUCACCCUUGUGCGGAUUUCUCCUUUUACCUCGAUACCAUGUGGUAUCGUGGUCUCGUGCGGUAUUAGCAACUGUUUCCAGUUGUUAUCCCCCUCACAAGGACAGAUUGCUCACGCGUUACGCACCCGUCCGCCACUAAGCUUACUUCGAUUGCUCUCUAUAAGCUCCGUUCGACUUGCAUGUGUUAAGCACGCCGCCAGCGUUCGUCCUGAGCCAUGAUCAAACUCUGA